This 425-nucleotide ribosomal RNA is filed under the name uncultured Eubacterium sp. Its description in RNAcentral is "bacterial SSU rRNA". It matches the Rfam family "Bacterial small subunit ribosomal RNA", at positions 355 to 794 of the family's 1533-position model. Lineage: Bacteria; Bacillati; Bacillota; Clostridia; Eubacteriales; Eubacteriaceae. The record is from RNAcentral.
UGGGGAAUAUUGGGCAAUGGGCGCAAGCCUGACCCAGCAACGCCACGUGAGGGAAGAAGGUUUUCGGAUUGUAAACCUCUGUCCUUGGUGACGAAGGAAGUGACGGUAGCCAAGGAGGAAGCCCCGGCUAACUACGUGCCAGCAGCCGCGGUAAUACGUAGGUGGCAAGCGUUAUCCGGAAUUACUGGGUGUAAAGGGAGCGCAGGCGGGAUAGCAAGUCAGCUGUGAAAACUAUGGGCUCAACCCAUAAACUGCAGUUGAAACUGUUAUUCUUGAGUGGAGUAGAGGCAAGCGGAAUUCCGAGUGUAGCGGUGAAAUGCGUAGAUAUUCGGAGGAACACCAGUGGCGAAGGCGGCUUGCUGGGCUCUAACUGACGCUGAGGCUCGAAAGUGUGGGGAGCAAACAGGAUUAGAUACCCUGGUAGU